Molecule: ribosomal RNA, 484 nt
Filed under: uncultured bacterium
Lineage: Bacteria
Description: partial 16S ribosomal RNA
Rfam family: Bacterial small subunit ribosomal RNA
Source: RNAcentral
AUUGAACGCUGGCGGCAGGCCUAACACAUGCAAGUCGAGCGGAUGAAGGGAGCUUGCUCCUGGAUUCAGCGGCGGACGGGUGAGUAAUGCCUAGGAAUCUGCCUGGUCGUGGGGGAUAACGUCCGGAAACGGGCGCUAAUACCGCAUACGUCCUGAGGGAGAAAGUGGGGGAUCUUCGGACCUCACGCUAUCAGCUGAGACUAGGUCGGAUUAGCUAGUUGGUGGGGUAAAGGCCUACCAAGGCGACGAUCCGUAACUGGUCUGAGAGGAUGAUCAGUCACACUGGAACUGAGACACGGUCCAGACUCCUACGGGAGGCAGCAGUGGGGAAUAUUGGACAAUGGGCGAAAGCCUGAUCCAGCCAUGCCGCGUGUGUGAAGAAGGUCUUCGGAUUGUAAAGCACUUUAAGUUGGGAGGAAGGGCAGUAAGUUAAUACCUUGCUGUUUUGAUGGUACCAACAGAAUAAGCACCGGCUAACUUCGUG